RNAcentral lists this unclassified non-coding RNA (364 nucleotides) under uncultured bacterium. RNAcentral's name for it is "contains 16S-23S intergenic spacer region". The record is from RNAcentral.
UCCCGGUUGGCCCGGGCAGUCUCGCAUGAAAAAUUCAACAUACGAUAAGGGUUGCGCUCGUUGCGGGACUUAACCCAACAUCUCACGACACGAGCUGACGACGGCCAUGCAGCACCUGUCACUAGGCUCCCGAAGGCACUCCACUAUCUCUAGCGGAUUCCUAGGAUGUCAAACCUUGGUAAGGUUCUUCGCGUAGCUUCGAAUUAAACCACAUGAUCCUCUGCUUGUGCGGGUCCCCGUCAAUUCCUUUGAGUUUUAAGCUUGCGCUCGUACUCCCCAGGCGGCACACUUAUCGCGUUAGCUUCACAGCACAGGGGGUCGAUACCCCAUACUAUUAGUGUGCAUCGUUUACGGCGUGGACUAC